CCCCAGUAACGGCGAGUGAAGCGGGAGAAGCCCAUGCUGCCAACCGCUCCGGCGGGUUGUGCCAGGCGUGCCUGGUGAGGUCCCGGGGAGAAGUCCUUUGGAACAAGGUAUCAGAGAGGGUGACAAUCCCGUCUGUGCCUCGGGGUCCUCGCGUGAAGGCCGUGCUAAUGGAGUCGAGUUGCUUGGGAUUGCAGCUCAAAGUCGGUGGUAAAUUCCAUCGAAGGCUAAAUACGGGUGGGAGACCGAUAGCGAACAAGUACUGUGAAGGAAAGAUGAAAAGAACUUUGAAAAGAGAGUUAAAGAGUGCCUGAAAUUGCUGAGAGGGAACCGAAGGUGAUCAGUGGGGGCCGCUGCCAUUUUUCGUGUUCCGACCUCGGAGCACGCCCUGUGGCAGGGGCCCGCUCCGCGCCGUCGCGUCCGGCCGUAAGCUUGGGGCCGGGGGUGGUGGGGCGGAGGAAAUGGUCCUCUUUACCCCGUCUUGA
Molecule: ribosomal RNA, 482 nt
Filed under: Pseudochattonella verruculosa
Lineage: Eukaryota; Dictyochophyceae; Florenciellales
Description: partial large subunit ribosomal RNA
Rfam family: Eukaryotic large subunit ribosomal RNA
Source: RNAcentral